ACAGGGUGGGGGUGCCUCCGGUCGGGGGUAUUUUUAUGUCCAGGGAAACCACGGACCACCCCACUCGGCGCUCUGAUUACCAGGUUGGUUGGUGUGAAGGAGCCAAGCUGAUGCCCUAGUUCCCACACCCGCUUGCAGUUGUGGGGAAGAGAGCAGGGUUACAGUUCUGCUUUUCUUUGCUUUGGGUUUUGAUUGAGUGCCCUUGGUUUUGGACUCUGCCCCUAGCCUCUUGGUGACCUCGAGAAGCUGUCUGGUUGGCCUGCUCCUCCCGGGUGAGGCCUAGGGUGGAGCCCCUUCACCACUCACCAUCGCCUGGGCUCUGAGGAAGGCUGGCAGACACCCAGGAGGUUUCCUGCUGCCGGGCUGGGAGGAAUCAGAAGUCGUCUAUCGGACUUCCCUGGUGGUCCAGCGGUUAAGAACCCAUCUGCCAGUGCAGAGGACAUGGGCUCGAUCCCUGGUCUGGGAAGAUUCCAUGUGCCACGGGGCAACUAAGCCCAUGUGCCACAACUACUGUGGCCUGCAAGAGAAGCCACCGCAAAGAGAAGCCGGAGCACAGGCAUUAGAGAGUGGACCCCAGUCACCACAACUAGAGCAAGCCUGCACACAGCAAUGAAGACCCAGUGCAGCCAAAACAAUUAAUUAGUUAAAAAGAAAUGGCUCAAGGACCCUCCUGAGCCAACCUCAGGAGGUGGGACAAUGUGGCAGGGUGGUCAUCUUCUGCCGCCCCCUUCAGCCAAUCUGCACCUGUGCUCACCUUGCCUUCUCCCUCCCCUGAUGGGGGCUCAGGGUCCGCCUGUCCAAGCUGACCUCCCCAAGCUGAGCCCUGGGAACCCAAGUGACUCUCAUCUGCUCAGGAGCUGCCUCAUCUCAAAUCUCCAGUCCCAUCCACCUGACUGCCUCUGUCCCUUUGGCAUUUCAACAAACUCAAGGUCUCUCCACCUUGGAAAAAAAAAAGUGUGCCCCUGGUGAAGGAGGAAAAAGAACAGGCUCUGUCUUGAAAGCAGGAUUCCAUCUUGGGCCAGACUGUGGACUUUGAGCCACAAUCUCUGCGGUUUGCCCAGUAUCUAUGGAAACCACAUACCAACUGGAAAACCAGGCCCCCGGAAGGAAGAGCCCCAGGGCUCUCCAUCCCUAAAAGAAUACCCUAAUUAUCUGUGAAAUCGAAUAGAAUCAUAAAUUCUAUUAUGCUUAUUGGGGUAUGACCACAGGCCUAUUGAUAAUUGUCCACUGUUAACUACCUAGGCUUAAGGCAUAUGAAUCACAGGUUAACUUGGAUUGUAUCUUUCUUUUUCCUUUGUUCACACUAGGUUCAGGGAGUCUGGAGAGGUGGGUUUGGGCACAUAUGCUUAGGGUAUAUAAGGUUUUCACAAAAACUGGUUGGGGUCCUUGGCUAAGAAGAGACUCUGCCUUGUGCCCUCCGGUGUAAUAAACUGAACUCCACUAUC
Dama dama (fallow deer) is the source of this 1445-nucleotide long non-coding RNA. RefSeq lists it as uncharacterized. NCBI's taxonomy places the organism in Eukaryota, Metazoa, Chordata, Mammalia, Artiodactyla, Cervidae. The record is from RefSeq and is a predicted model, not a curated record. The transcript is spliced from 2 exons.